AGUGGCGCACGGGUGCGUAACGCGUAUGCAACCUACCUUAUUCAGGGGGAUAGCCCGAAGAAAUUCGGAUUAACACCGCAUAAAAUCACAGCUCAGCAUUGAGUAAUGAUCAAAUAUUUAUAGGAAUAAGAUGGGCAUGCGUGUCAUUAGCUAGUUGGCGGGGUAACGGCCCACCAAGGCGACGAUGACUAGGGGAUCUGAGAGGAUGACCCCCCACACUGGUACUGAGACACGGACCAGACUCCUACGGGAGGCAGCAGUAAGGAAUAUUGGUCAAUGGAGGCAACUCUGAACCAGCCAUGCCGCGUGCAGGAAGACAGCCCUCUGGGUCGUAAACUGCUUUUAUUCGGGAAUAAACCUUUCUACGUGUAGAGAGCUGAAUGUACCGAAGGAAUAAGGAUCGGCUAACUCCGUGCCAGCAGCCGCGGUAAUACGGAGGAUCCAAGCGUUAUCCGGAUUUAUUGGGUUUAAAGGGUGCGUAGGCGGCUUAUUAAGUCAGGGGUGAAAGACGGUGGCUCAACCAUCGCAGUGCCUUUGAUACUGAUGAGCUUGAAUGAACUAGAGGUAGGCGGAAUGUGACAAGUAGCGGUGAAAUGCAUAGAUAUGUCACAGAACACCGAUUGCGAAGGCAGCUUACUAUGGUUUUAUUGACGCUGAGGCACGAAAAGCGUGGGGAUCAAACAGGAUUAGAUACCCUGGUAGUCCACGCCCUAAACGAUGAAUACUCGCUGUUAGCGAUACACAGUUAGCGGCUAAGCGAAAGCGUUAAGUAUUCCACCUGGGGAGUACGCCCGCAAGGGUGAAACUCAAAKGAAUUGACGGGGGCCCGCACAAGCGGAGGAGCAUGUGGUUUAAUUCGAUGAUACGCGAGGAACCUUACCCGGGCUUGAAAGUUAGUGAAUCAUUUAGAGAUAGAUGAGUCCGCAAGGACACGAAACUAGGUGCUGCAUGGCUGUCGUCAGCUCGUGCCGUGAGGUGUUGGGUUAAGUCCCGCAACGAGCGCAACCCCUAUGUUUAGUUGCCAGCACGUUAAGGUGGGGACUCUAAACAGACUGCCUGUGCAAACAGAGAGGAAGGAGGGGACGACGUCAAGUCAUCAUGGCCCUUACGUCCGGGGCUACACACGUGCUACAAUGGAUGGUACAGAGGGCAGCAAGCUGGCAACAGCAAGCAAAUCUCAAAAAGCCAUUCACAGUUCGGAUAGAGGUCUGCAACUCGACCUCUUGAAGUUGGAUUCGCUAGUAAUCGCGUAUCAGCAAUGACGCGGUGAAUACGUUCCCGGGCCUUGUACACACCGCCCGUCAAGCCAUGGAAGUUGGGGGUACCUAAAGUAUGUAACCGCAAGGAGCGUCCUAGGGUAAAACCGAUAACUGGGGCUA
Molecule: ribosomal RNA, 1379 nt
Filed under: Pedobacter sp. A16.2
Lineage: Bacteria; Pseudomonadati; Bacteroidota; Sphingobacteriia; Sphingobacteriales; Sphingobacteriaceae
Description: 16S ribosomal RNA
Rfam family: Bacterial small subunit ribosomal RNA
Source: RNAcentral